RNAcentral lists this ribosomal RNA (252 nucleotides) under uncultured bacterium. RNAcentral describes it as "partial 16S ribosomal RNA". It matches the Rfam family "Bacterial small subunit ribosomal RNA", at positions 524 to 776 of the family's 1533-position model. The record is from RNAcentral.
UACGUAGGGCGCAAGCGUUAUCCGGAAUUAUUGGGCGUAAAGAGCUCGUAGGCGGUUUGUCGCGUCUGCCGUGAAAGUCCGGGGCUCAACUCCGGAUCUGCGGUGGGUACGGGCAGACUAGAGUGAUGUAGGGGAGACUGGAAUUCCUGGUGUAGCGGUGAAAUGCGCAGAUAUCAGGAGGAACACCGAUGGCGAAGGCAGGUCUCUGGGCAUUACUGACGCUGAGGAGCGAAAGCGUGGGGAGCGAACAGG